UAAAGGGGAGCACUAAAGUUGAAGAUGAGGCACUGCCAUCAAUGCUGUGGGGUUUCAGGCCAAGAACAGGAGCUGAGGAAGCCACAAGGGAGGGCAUUUUCUGCAGAGUUGCUGAACGAGUAACAACCUGGUCCUGAGAGAGCUCUUGUGGAAGAAUAAGAGCCAAGUGGGAAAGCUUUUCAUCCUGCAAAGCUGUGGCAGAAGGUUCUUCCUUGAAUGUGGUCAUGUGCACUUCAGCUCAGGAGUCCAGCGCAGGAGUCCUGCAGAGACAGAGGAAAUUGUUUUCAGACCUGGCUUUACUAAAAGCUUCUUUUCCCUGCUUUCAACGACUCAGAUGAGAGCACUGCAGGAAGAAGAAAAACAAGUUCCUAGAUCUCCCUGAGCCAAUGAUCCAGCAGAGGACAGGCCUUUUCUAAGUGGAGAGGAGGAGUUUUGGUGUAAAUUGCCUGAUCAGAAAUCUGGAUCCAAAGUCUUUCCUAUUAUUUCUGUCUCAUGCCUUAUCACCUCUGCCAUCAUUCUAGGGAAACUGAAUCUCUUUCUGAAAGAGGAUUAAAAGGUAUUACCUGUUGGCUGAAGUCCAGAGUGUCCUGGGAAAAAGAGGAAAAGAUAUACACUUAAAAGAUAUGGAAGCAAAUCUGUCUUCCAACACAAUGUCCCAGCCCCAGAUCUCCCACCUGAGAUUUCUCUAACACCACAACCCACACCAACCACGACAGAGAAGAGCAGAAACAGACCAUGUGACCCAUGAAGUGUGAAGUGUCUGUCACAGGAUCCAGUGUAAUUGCAUUAGCCUUAGUGGCUCUUCCUUAAUUUGCUCCAGGAUCUCGAACCAAAGGAUCCCUACUUGUUAACCUUUCUCUUAUCUCUGCAGGCCACAAGCUAUUAUGUUUUGACGUAGUAACCAUGCACUGAUGAUUUCUGGAUUAUCAGGACAUUGGAG
RNAcentral lists this long non-coding RNA (940 nucleotides) under Homo sapiens (human). RNAcentral's name for it is "HSALNT0104854". The record is from RNAcentral. Lineage: Eukaryota; Metazoa; Chordata; Mammalia; Primates; Hominidae.